Molecule: ribosomal RNA, 1443 nt
Filed under: metagenome
Description: bacterial SSU rRNA
Rfam family: Bacterial small subunit ribosomal RNA
Source: RNAcentral
GAGUUUGAUCAUGGCUCAGAGCGAACGCUGGCGGCAGGCUUAGCACAUGCAAGUCGAACGGGCGUAGCAAUACGUCAGUGGCAGACGGGUGAGUAACGCGUGGGAACAUACCUCUUGGUUCGGAACAACACAGGGAAACUUGUGCUAAUACCGGAUAAGCCCUUACGGGGAAAGAUUUAUCGCCGAGAGAUUGGCCCGCGUCUGAUUAGCUAGUUGGUGGGGUAAAGGCCUACCAAGGCGACGAUCAGUAGCUGGUCUGAGAGGAUGAUCAGCCACAUUGGGACUGAGACACGGCCCAAACUCCUACGGGAGGCAGCAGUGGGGAAUAUUGGACAAUGGGCGCAAGCCUGAUCCAGCCAUGCCGCGUGAGUGAUGAAGGCCCUAGGGUUGUAAAGCUCUUUUGUACGGGAAGAUAAUGACGGUACCGUAAGAAUAAGCCCCGGCUAACUUCGUGCCAGCAGCCGCGGUAAUACGAAGGGGGCUAGCGUUGCUCGGAAUCACUGGGCGUAAAGGGUGCGUAGGCGGGUUUUUAAGUCAGAGGUGAAAUCCUGGAGCUCAACUCCAGAACCGCCUUUGAUACUGAAAGUCUUGAGUAUGGGAGAGGUGAGUGGAACUGCGAGUGUAGAGGUGAAAUUCGUAGAUAUUCGCAAGAACACCAGUGGCGAAGGCGGCUCACUGGCCCAUAACUGACGCUGAGGCACGAAAGCGUGGGGAGCAAACAGGAUUAGAUACCCUGGUAGUCCACGCCGUAAACGAUGAAUGCCAGCCGUUAGUGGGUUUACUCACUAGUGGCGCAGCUAACGCUUUAAGCAUUCCGCCUUGGGAGUACGGUCGCAAGAUUAAAACUCAAAGGAAUUGACGGGGGCCCGCACAAGCGGUGGAGCAUGUGGUUUAAUUCGACGCAACGCGCAGAACCUUACCAGCCCUUGACAUGUCUAUGACCGGUACCAGAGAUGGAACCUUCCCUUCGGGGCAUAGAGCACAGGUGCUGCGUGGCUGUCGUCAGCUCGUGUCGUGAGAUGUUGGGUUAAGUCCCGCAACGAGCGCAACCCCCGUCCUUAGUUGCUACCAUUUAGUUGGGCACUCUAAGGAGACUGCCGGUGAUAAGCCGCGAGGAAGGUGGGGAUGACGUCAAGUCCUCAUGGCCCUUACGGGCUGGGCUACACACGUGCUACAAUGGCGGUGACAAUGGGAUGCAAAAGGGCGACCUCUCGCAAAUCUCAAAAAGCCGUCUCAGUUCGGAUUGGGCUCUGCAACUCGAGCCCAUGAAGUUGGAAUCGCUAGUAAUCGUGGAUCAGCAUGCCACGGUGAAUACGUUCCCGGGCCUUGUACACACCGCCCGUCACACCAUGGGAGUUGGUUCUACCUGAAGGCAGUGCGCUAACCGCAAGGGGGCAGCUGACCACGGUAGGGUCAGCGACUGGGGUGAAGUCGUAACAAGGU